GACCACCCCCCAAGGCUAAAUACUACUUAGUGACCGAUAGCGCAUAGUACUGUGAAGGAAAGGUGAAAAGAACCCCGGGAGGGGAGUGAAAGAGAACCUGAAACCCUGUGUUUACAAGCUGUGGAACACCGUUAUGGUGAACCGCGUACUUUUUGUAGAACGGUCCGGCGAGUUACGCUUACUGGUAAGGUUAAGCACUAAAGGUGCGGAGCCGAAGGGAAACCAAGUCUUAACAGGGCGCCAAAAUCAGUAGGAGUAGACCCGAAACCGGGUGACCUAUCCAUGUCCAGGUUGAAGAUGCCGUAAAAGGCAUUGGAGGACCGAACGCACAUCCGUUGAAAAGGGUGGCGAUGAGGUGUGGAUAGCGGAGAAAUUCCAAUCGAACCCGGAGAUAGCUGGUUCUCCUCGAAAUAGCUUUAGGGCUAGCCUCAUACAAGUCAUGCGGAGGUAGAGCACUGAAUUUCCUAGGGGGCGUCAAAGCUUACCAAAGAAUAUCAAACUCCGAAUGCCGUAGAGAUGAUGUAUGGGAGUCAGACUGCACGAGAUAAGUUGGGUAGUCAAAAGGGAAAGAGCCCAGACCUACAGCUAAGGUCCCAAAGUGUGUGUUAAGUGGAAAAGGAUGUGAGAUUUCAGAGACAACCAGGAUGUUGGCUUAGAAGCAGCCAUACAUUAAAAGAGUGCGUAACAGCUCACUGGUCGAGAGGUCUUGCGCCGAAAAUGUCCGGGGCUAAAACACAACACCGAAGCUUAGGAAUCACAGUAAUGUGAUUGGUAGAGGAGCAUUCUUAAAUGCAAAGAAGCUGUACCGUAAGGAGCAGUGGAGCGUUAAGAAGAGAGAAUGCCGGAAUGAGUAGCGAGAUAGAAGUGAGAAUCUUCUAGGCCGAAUAUCCAAGGAUUCCAGGGUAAAGCUGAUCUGCCCUGGGUAAGUCGGGGCCUAAGGCGAGGUCGAAAGACGUAGUCGAUGGACAACAGGUGGAAAUUCCUGUACUACAAUAUAACAGAACUGUGGGGACGCAGAAAGAGAGCACAAGCCGGGAAUGGAAAGACCGGUACAAGCGGGGUAUCCGCUGGGCAGGCAAAUCCGCCCAGCAAGGAGAAGACGUAAAGUGGACCGAACUAAAAGUAGGGAAGUGUGUGAGCUGGCUGCCAAGAAAAGCCGCUAUUGAUUAUAUUGUACCCGUACCGUAAACCGACACAGGUGGAUGAGGAGAGAAUCCUAAGGCCGACGGGAGAAGCAUUGUUAAGGAACUCGGCAAAAUAACCCCGUAACUUCGGGAGAAGGGGUGCCUGCGAAAGCAGGCCGCAGAGAAUUGGCCCAAGCAACUGUUUAGCAAAAACACAGGUCUAUGCAAAACCGAAAGGUGAGGUAUAUGGGCUGACGCCUGCCCGGUGCUGGAAGGUUAAGGGGAGAAGUUAGCGCAAGCGAAGCUUUGAACUUAAGCCCCAGUAAACGGCGGCCGUAACUAUAACGGUCCUAAGGUAGCGAAAUUCCUUGUCGGGUAAGUUCCGACCCGCACGAAAGGCGUAAUGAUUUGGGCACUGUCUCGACAAUGCACCCGGUGAAAUUGAAGUACCAGUGAAGAUGCUGGUUACCCGUGCCAGGACGGAAAGACCCCAUGGAGCUUUACUCCAGUUUGAUACUGGGAUUCGGUACUGCAUGUACAGGAUAGGCGGGAGACGAAGAAGUAGUGACGCCAGUCACUACGGAGUCAUUGUUGGGAUACCGCCCUUGUAGUAUUGGAUUUCUAACUAGCAGCCGUAAACCGGCUGGAGGACAAUGUCAGGCGGGGAGUUUGACUGGGGCGGUCGCCUCCGAAAGAGUAUCGGAGGCGCUCAAAGGUUCCCUCAGAAUGGUUGGAAACCAUUCGCAGAGUGCAAAGGCAAAAGGGAGCUUGACUGUGACACCGACGGGUGGAGCAGGUAGGAA
This 1927-nucleotide ribosomal RNA is filed under the name Lachnotalea glycerini. RNAcentral's name for it is "Bacterial large subunit ribosomal RNA". It matches the Rfam family "Bacterial large subunit ribosomal RNA", at positions 451 to 2403 of the family's 2925-position model. Lineage: Bacteria; Bacillati; Bacillota; Clostridia; Lachnospirales; Lachnospiraceae. The record is from Rfam by way of RNAcentral.